UGGGGAAUUUUGGACAAUGGGCGAAAGCCUGAUCCAGCCAUGCCGCGUGAGUGAAGAAGGCCUUCGGGUUGUAAAGCUCUUUUAGUCGGAAAGAAAGAGUUGCAAUGAAUAAUUGUGAUUUAUGACGGUACCGACAGAAAAAGCACCGGCUAACUACGUGCCAGCAGCCGCGGUAAUACGUAGGGUGCGAGCGUUAAUCGGAAUUACUGGGCGUAAAGGGUGCGCAGGCGGUCUUGCAAGUCAGAUGUGAAAGCCCCGGGCUUAACCUGGGAAUUGCGUUUGAAACUACAAGACUAGAGUGCAGCAGAGGGGAGUGGAAUUCCAUGUGUAGCAGUGAAAUGCGUAGAGAUGUGGAAGAACACCGAUGGCGAAGGCAACUCCCUGGGCCUGCACUGACGCUCAUGCACGAAAGCGUGGGGAGCAAACA
This 427-nucleotide ribosomal RNA is filed under the name uncultured beta proteobacterium. Its description in RNAcentral is "bacterial SSU rRNA". It matches the Rfam family "Bacterial small subunit ribosomal RNA", at positions 355 to 774 of the family's 1533-position model. Lineage: Bacteria; Pseudomonadati; Pseudomonadota; Betaproteobacteria. The record is from RNAcentral.